UACUUGAUUGUAAAUCUAGAU
Molecule: non-coding RNA, 21 nt
Organism: Caenorhabditis elegans
Lineage: Eukaryota; Metazoa; Nematoda; Chromadorea; Rhabditida; Rhabditidae
Source: Ensembl